GACAGGAUCCUGGUCUUAGGGUAAGAAAAAUGAGAAUCAAGAUAUCUAAGAAGGUACUCAGACAGAAGGAACAAGACAAAUCCAGUUCUAGCAAAUGGAGCGUAUGAUUUCUCCACAGGCUUAAAAUGAAACUUGGUUAACAGAUCUGAAAGGAAAAAAAAAAAAAAAAUCAAAGCAAAAUAAGCAUCAAUGUUAACUUGCUACUUGAUCUACUUGGGGCCCCCUGAAGCAUUAGAAUUAGAUUAGGAUUGAGUUAAAAUCAAGCAAGACCGAAUCUUUAGGUGAAGGCCUAAUAAAUACAGAAAUAGAAAAAAAAAAAAAAAAAAAAAAAAAAAAAAAAAAAAAAAAGGAUGGGUCUCUGGGGAGAGAGGAAAGCCUUUAUGGGCAAUAUAAAGAGGCCACUACACAGAUAAGCAUUGUGUUUCUUCUCUUGACUUGGCUAUCAAGGGAGCAUAACGAUAAGUUUUAUGCGUAAUUACUGUAAACUUCUCAGCACUUCCCACAAAUAUUUUCUGACCUUUCUUAUCUUCAAUUUAAGUGUUAACACUAUUGCUUCAGAUAAAACCCGAAACCAAAACAAAACUGGAUCCCUUCGGAGUCUCUGUAAUUCAUCUCACAGACAGAUGAGCAACCUGCAAAAUUCUCAAGAAGAGGCCAAGUGAUCUGUCAUCAACAUGGGAAGGAGGUUGGACUAAGUGAAGAUCUUUCUCAUUGUACUAAUAAGCUAAGAGAACAUCAUGAAAUUUCUCAAACUGUGUUCUCAUGUGUUGGGAGUUAAAGCAGAAGAAGCAAUUGACUGUGGGAACUUGACCAGAAUCAAAGUUGUCUAAAAUGAUGAACUGUUUUUCUGUGUGAUCACACUAGGUCCAACAGGGCUGCCUUAGCACACUGGUCAAGUCUCUGGAUGUAACAACCUAGGGAAAAGUUGGUAAUUUUCAUCUUAUCCAGAAAUCUUUAGAUUUCAUUUAAAUUGCCAUUUUGAUGAUUGAUGAGACAUUUUUCAUUUAACACUGUUCCACUAAUUAGCUGAAAGCCUCAUACAGUAACCUAAGCAUAGGUUAUAAGUAUUGUGUGGUGAUAGAAAUAACAUCUAAAAGAAAAAUUAUUUGAUGACACUAUUAAAGCACAGUAAGGCAAGCCUUGUUCAGGACCAUUGCAAUAGGUGUAGGCACCACUGCAGUGGGAUGUUGCAAGUGAAGGGCCUGGAACACAGCCUGGGCAGUGGGAAUUUAUAGCUGGUGGAGCAGGGUGGAGGUCAACUGGAGGUGGAGGUUACCUAAGAGGUAACAUCAGGGGAAAGGGGGACUCCUGGCUAAGCCAACCUCACAGGAUUCUUGCUGAAGGCAGGCCAGAGUGAUCAAACAUCACCUGGGGGUGGUGGAAGACGAGGAUCCUGGUCAGGAGUCAAGAGUGAUUAGAUAUCAAGCACUGCAGGGUGGCGGUGGGACUUCCUUUACAAGGAAGGGCACAGAUGGGACUAGAAGAAGGUUCAGGAGCCUGACUGAGGUUUGGCCAAGAAUCUCUGUCACCUUCAAGGCUUGAGCUAGAUCAUCUUCCCUACCUUUGCUGCAUAUUAGAUGCAUCUAGGAAGCUUUUAAAAAUAACUGAUGUACUCCCUUCACCCCUAGAGAAUGAAAUUUAACAGAUCUAUGUGAGCAUCACAGCAUUAAAUGCUUUUUUAAAAAUCCUAGGUGAUUCCAAUAGGAGUCCAAGGUGGAGAACCACUAAAUGACUUAAUCUCUAAGGUAUUUCUCUAAAAUGUCCGGAUUCUAUGCUUAGUCUCAUUUAACUACAAACAAGUAUAUAGUUUGCUUAAAAAAAAAAAUAAAUUAGGAUAGUUGUAGCCA
This 1847-nucleotide long non-coding RNA is filed under the name Vulpes vulpes (red fox). RNAcentral describes it as "lncRNA (ENSVVUG00000008544.1)". The record is from RNAcentral. Lineage: Eukaryota; Metazoa; Chordata; Mammalia; Carnivora; Canidae.